AAAAUAAUCUGAUGCCCCACAGAAAGGAGGUAGCCCAGCCCCGCGAUCGGCUGCUCUCGAGGAGGCCGGAGCCCCCGGAGAGGAUGCGCCCCGCGGAGCCGCCUGCGCCUGCGGGAGCCGGCUGCCCUUGAGAUGGAGUUGCUGCCCCUUUGGCUCUGCCUGGGUUUUCACUUCCUGGCAGUGGACUGGAGGGACAGAAGCGGAACGGCCACAGCAGCUUCCCAGGGGGGCUGCAAGUUGGUGAGUUUUCCCUUGAACCCUGAUCUGUCGGCUGCUCCUGUCCCGACAAGGCUUGGUCCAUUCGGAAAGCUGACGGAUUGUCCAUCAGGAAGCGCAGAGAAUGAAGGAGGCUGAGUCGCUCUGUGCCUGCCUAGCACGGGGCCAUGUGCAGCUGCUCUUUAACCACAGGAUUUUAAGAUGCUGCCUGGGAAGAGCCAGGCAGUCCCUGCCCCACCCUUCUCACGCCUGCCGAGGAUAGGAGGCAUCCGAGACCAGCCUAGGGCAGCCUCUUGGAACAAGAGCAACUUGUUAAAAAUCUGGAUGAUUCAGGCCGGGUGCGGUGGCUCAGGCCUGUAAUCCCAGCACUU
RNAcentral lists this small RNA (587 nucleotides) under Pongo abelii (Sumatran orangutan). RNAcentral's name for it is "retained intron". Lineage: Eukaryota; Metazoa; Chordata; Mammalia; Primates; Hominidae. The record is from RNAcentral.